GACGAACGCUGGCGGCAUGCCUAAUACAUGCAAGUCGAGCGGACAGAAGGGAGCUUGCUCCCGAAAGUCAGCGGCGGACGGGUGAGUAACACGUGGGCAACCUGCCCCUUAGAUUGGGAUAACUUCGGGAAACCGAAGCUAAUACCGAAUAAUACAAGGAACCUCCUGGUUCUCUGUUGAAAGAUGGCCUUUGUGCUGUCACUAAGGGAUGGGCCCGCGGCGCAUUAGCUAGUUGGAAAGGUAACGGCUUACCAAGGCGACGAUGCGUAGCCGACCUGAGAGGGUGAUCGGCCACACUGGGACUGAGACACGGCCCAGACUCCUACGGGAGGCAGCAGUAGGGAAUCUUCCGCAAUGGACGAAAGUCUGACGGAGCAAUGCCGCGUGAGUGAGGAAGGCCUUCGGGUCGUAAAGCUCUGUUGUGAGGGAAGAACAAGUACCGGCGUAACUACCGGUACCGUGGCGGUACCUCACCAGAAAGCCACGGCUAACUACGUGCCAGCCGCCGCCGUAA
Molecule: ribosomal RNA, 514 nt
Filed under: uncultured bacterium
Lineage: Bacteria
Description: partial 16S ribosomal RNA
Rfam family: Bacterial small subunit ribosomal RNA
Source: RNAcentral